UCAUUAACUGAAUCCAUAGGUUAAUGAGGCGAACCGGGGGAACUGAAACAUCUAAGUACCCCGAGGAAAAGAAAUCAACCGAGAUUCCCCCAGUAGCGGCGAGCGAACGGGGAGGAGCCCAGAGCCUGAAUCAGCAUGUGUGUUAGUGGAAGCGUCUGGAAAGGCGCGCGAUACAGGGUGACAGCCCCGUACACAAAAGCGCAUGUGCUGUGAGCUCGAUGAGUAGGGCGGGACACGUGGUAUCCUGUCUGAAUAUGGGGGGACCAUCCUCCAAGGCUAAAUACUCCUGACUGACCGAUAGUGAACCAGUACCGUGAGGGAAAGGCGAAAAGAACCCCGGCGAGGGGAGUGAAAAAGAACCUGAAACCGUGU
Molecule: ribosomal RNA, 372 nt
Filed under: Salmonella enterica
Lineage: Bacteria; Pseudomonadati; Pseudomonadota; Gammaproteobacteria; Enterobacterales; Enterobacteriaceae
Also listed under: 2 other names
Description: partial 23S ribosomal RNA
Rfam family: Bacterial large subunit ribosomal RNA
Source: RNAcentral